CCAAACCAGACCCACCCAAAUCCCAAAAUUCUGAAAUUAGGGGCGGCGACAGUGACAAGAUAUAACACCAGAAAGUGUUUGCACGUACAAUCGGUAAAAGGGCAAUUCUGCACGCAACCAAAACACUAAAAUCUUCAACGGGGUUACGAUUCUAUAUGCAAUACGGUCACAGUUUGUGAAAUCGGCAACUCUUAUUGCUCCGAUUUCAUUCACCAUGGAAAUUGAUUCACCAUCUGAAUCUGAUGCACCUAUUUUGUCCCCAAAAGAUCGUAUACUCAAGAGGCUAGCCUUAAUAGAUGUUCCUGAAGAGUGUCUUAAGCAUAUGCAGCCUGGGAUUAUUACAUAUGUUAAAAAUGUUAAAAGAAACAGUUCGAGAUUAGAAGAAGUUUUUAAUGCGAUUUUACCAACGGACGAUGAAAUCCAGACCGCCAUUGAAGCAGAGGCAGACCCUAGCAUUGAUGAUUUACUACAAGAAAGCAUGGUCUGGCUGCAGUGGUUGAUGUUUGAUGGUGAUCCUGUUGACGUGCUACAACGACUGGAGUCGAUGAAUGUCGGGCAGCGUGGCGUUUGCGGAUACGUGUGGGGAUACAAUGAUAUAGCGUAUCGUUGUAGAACGUGUGAAAAUGAUCCCACAUGUGCGAUUUGCGUACCGUGUUUUGCAGAGGGUGACCAUAAGGAUCAUGAUUACUCGGUUAUAUAUACGGGUGGUGGAUGCUGUGACUGUGGUGAUGAGACGGCGUGGAAACGUAGUGGAUUUUGUUCUAAACAUAAAGGAGCAGAACAGAUGCAACCGCUUCAAGAAGAUGUUGCUAACACUUUACGCCCUGUUUUGGAUUAUCUUUUUCAUCGUUGGAAGAACAGUUUAUUACUUGCAGAGUGUAACCAUCAAAACGGUCUGUUUCCCGAUGAUAAUGCUGCAGAAGCGGAAACGGUUGCAGACGUGCUGACAUCAGCAGUGGUGGGGAUGCUUUUGGACUUCUGUAACCGCAGCGAAAGCUUGCUAAGUUUUGUUUCCGGAAGAUUAUGCUACGAGGUCGAUCUGUUGGAUGUUCUUGUACGGGCAGAGACAUUUUUGUGCUUCGAUGUUGUCCCGAAGCUUCAAGAAUUACCAUUGAAAUUGAUAAGUGAUCCGUUUUUCAAAUAUGAGUUUGCAAAGGCUUUUAUAAAGUAUUAUCCCACAGUUGUAGAUGAAGUUUUGAAAGAGAGUACAGAUGUUGUUUAUAAAAAGCGUCCGCUACUAUCGUCAUUUUCGGUUCAAAUUUUCACUGUUCCUACUUUGACCCCACGUCUCGUUAAGGAAAUGGAUCUUUUAACCGUGCUUUUGGAGUGUUUGAGCAAAAUAUUCAUUUCUUGUUCUGGACAGGAUCAUCAACUACAGGUUUCCAAGUGGGAAAAUCUGCUUGAAACAACGCAGCGUGUCGUUGAAGAUAUCCGAUUUGUCAUGAGCCAAACAACGAUACCUGAAUACGUGACAAGUUCGAGGCGUGACAUAUGUAGAACAUGGGUGAAACUAUUGGCUUUUGUGCAAGGAAUGAACCCUCAAAAAAGAGAAACAAAUAUUCAUAUUGAAGAAAAUGAAAAUAUUAAUUUACCUUUUGUUUUAGGGCAUUCUAUCGCAAAUAUUCAUGCUUUGUUAGUAGCUGGUGUGUUUUCCACCGAAGAUGAAUCCGUUUCCACUAUGAAUAAGCCGGAUAUCGAUGAACUGGAAUCUUUACGGCAUGUAAAAGUUGGUAAACUAUCACAAGAAAGCUCGGUUUCUAGUGUGACCGCAAGGGGCACUUCGUUCGAUAGUGAAACGAAGGUUAUUGAACGGGACGCUGAUAGUGUUUCUGUUUCUGUUUUGACUUCGGUUUCAUGGUUAAUCUUCGAGUGUUUACGGUCCAUUGAAUACUGGUUGAAAUCUAACAAUGCAUCAGGAGGUAGUAAUGCUUCUGGUAGUAAUUUCGUUCCGUUAAAAAGAAAACUAUCUAAGUUAAGAACGAGAAAAACUAUUUCUGCAGGUUUGGAUUAUACAAAUGAAUUUGAGGUUUUGAGUUCGGCAGAUUGGUCGGAAAUCGAAUACGACGUUAGUUCACAAGACGUAUCAAUACACAUCCCGUUGCAUCGUUUGCUCGCAUUGGUUUUACAACGAGCGUUGAAGAGGUGUUAUAGUGAAUCUGAAUCAUCCACUGACUCAUCAACCGAAUGUGUUGAUUUUUUUGGCCGUGUGUUAGGUGGCUGCCACCCGUACGGAUUCUCUGGUUUUAUAAUGGAACAUCCUCUGCGUAUCAGGGUUUUCUGUAGUGAAGUUCGAGCGGGGAUGUGGCGGAAGAACGGUGACGAUGCAUUGUUAUCGUAUGAGUGGUAUCGUUCGGUUCGCUGGUCUGAGCAUGGUUCGGAACUUGAUUUAUUUCUUCUACAGUGUUGUGCUGCAUUAGCUCCAGCCGAUCUUUAUAUUACUAGAAUCGUAAAAAGAUUUGGUCUAGAAACUUAUCUUUCUUUGAAUAUGGAAAGAGCUAACGAGUAUGAACCCGUUUUGAUGCAGGAGAUGCUAAAUCUUAUCAUACAAAUAGUGAAAGAAAGACGAUUUUGUGGAUUAACGACAACUGAAUGUUUGCAGCGUGAGUUAAUUUUUAAGUUAUCCACCGGAAAUGUUACUCGCAGUCAAUUGGUCAAAUCCCUUCCUCGUGACCUUUCUAAAGUAAACCAACUUCAACAAGUUCUGGAUACCGUUGCUGAGUACUUGCAUCCAUCUGGAACGAAACAGGGUAUGUACCAAUUACGUGUACAAUACUGGAAAGAACUAGAUUUGUACCAUCCUCGUUGGAAUUCACGUGACUUACAAGUUGCAGAAGAAAGAUACAUGCGCUUUUGUAACGUUUCUGCGUCGACCAAUCAGCUUCCAAAGUGGUCAAAGAUUUACCCGCCUCUUAACGGGUUAGCUAAAGUCGCUACAUGUAAAACAGUUCUACAAAUCAUUCGCGCUGUUCUCUUUUACGCACUUUUUACCGACAAGUCGAUGGAAUCACGUGCUCCCGACGGUGUUCUCGUAACAUCUUUACACUUGCUAUCGUUAGCUUUGGACAUUUCUCAAUCGCAGAUCCAAUGCGGUGGUGCGGAUGAUUCUAUUCCUCUUUUAGCCUUUGCGGUUGAAGAAGUAUCUACGGGGAUUAAUGAUGGAUACGACAAUCAAAGCUUAUUGUCACUUCUUUUCUCGUUAAUGAAGAUAAAUAAAAAAGAAAAUGUGUAUAAUGUUGUGGAAUCUGGUGGGUUUGACCUUGCUUCGUUUAUCAACAAUCUUCUUCAGAAAUUUGCUGAGCUGGAUUCUGGAUGUUCAAAAAAGUUGCAAAUAUUAGCGCCUGAAGUUGUUAAUGUGCUAUCUCGUUCUAAGCCUAGUAGUGAUACUAAUAACAGUGCGUCCAUGUCUGACAGUGAUAAACGGAAGGCUAAGGCACGUGAGAGACAAGCUGCAAUAAUGGAAAAAAUGAAGACGCAACAGUCAAAAUUCAUGGAGAGUAUAAAUUUAACCGCAGAGAGUGGCUUAAAUGAUUCCGGUGAUACCGAAGAAAGUAUUUCCGACGCUGCAAAUGAUUCAGAUGGACAUGAGCAACCAAUAUGUUCUCUUUGUCAUGAUGCCAAUUCCAAGUCACCCGUGUCUUUUUUAAUUCUUCUACGGAAAUCCAAGGUUGCAAGUUUGCUCGAUAAACGUUCCCCAUCAUGGGAAAACGAAGUUCAAAGGUCUGGGAAGGAGCAAGUUUCGGUUAAUAAUGACACGAUGAAUAAUCGACCGUCAAGCAGUGUGGAAACGAUAACAUCGUCCCAGUUAACGGAUUUGGUUCAAAAUGCAAUUAAUGAAUUUGCUUCCACCGGUCUGGCACACGAGGUUGAUGCGUUUUUGGACUUUAUAAAAGUACAUUACCCGUCUCUGGAAAAUUUACAUUUUCCUCGAUCACAUGAUAAUAGCAGUCAGACGGUCGUAUCUUUCGGUGAUGCAUUUGAAGAAAAUAUGUACACGCGUAUUGUGCGUGUUAUGGACAAUGAUUUGAUAAAGGCCGAGGAUUCGUCAAAUGAAUCUCUCUUGCUUGGAAAAUACAUUGCUUCUUUAUCUAAUGAAAUAGUGAAUAUUACAUCACCGUCAGAAACCGGCAGGUCUCGUAGUAACGCAAUGAAAAGUUCAGUGACAUACGAUGGUUUUGGACUGUCGGAUUGCGAUGGAUUUUAUGUUUCUUCUUGCGGGCAUGCUGUGCAUCAGGGUUGCCUUGAUCGUUAUCUACGGUCAUUGAAGGAAAGAUAUACUAGAAGAAUGGAUUUUGAAGGAGGUCACAUCGUGGACCCAGAUCAGGGGGAGUUCUUAUGUCCCGUUUGUCGAGGACUUUCAAAUUCGGUGUUACCUGAUUUACCGAAAGAAGAAACAAAGGACAUCCGGCAAUCAAAAAGUCAAAAUCCGUUCCCGUUAGAUGCUAAUGAUGUUUCUUAUCUUCGACAAUCACUUUCUCUUUUGGAAGCUGCAGCGGAUGUUUCUAGAACGAAUGAAUUUCUAAAGGCUUUUCCUGUGCAACGCAAACGAGAAACAGGCACAAAUCUUAGAUCUAUGAUUCGUUUACUACGUGAAAUGUAUUUUCCGGGAAAUGAUAAAGUUUCAGGAUCAAAUCGGUUGAGUGACUCGAUGAUCGUGUGGGACACCCUCAAAUAUUCGGUUGUAUCUACAGAAAUAGCCGCUAGAUCUGAAAAGACUUCCUUUGCUACCAAUUUUAGCAACGGUGCGUUGUAUGAAGAACUAAGAUCUUCCAAUGGGUUUGUUUUGUCGUUGUUGCUGAAAAUUUCUCAAAAAACCCGAGUCCAAAAUUCUCUUGACGUGCUCUUGAGAUUAAGGGGUAUUCAACGCUUUGCAAAGUCUAUAUGUUAUGCCGAUACUUUGAAUGAAGCGGCGAAUGACGCAAAUAGAGUUGGGGGAAAUAUGAUAAGCGUGUUGAGAAACGCUGACAUGGGCAUACAAUUCCCCGAUCUUCAAUUUUGGGCAAUGACGUCGUAUCCCAUACUUGCAUCUGAUGCUUUUUCAACUUUAAUGUGGAUCCUCUUUUGUCUUCCGGUCCCGUUUAUGUCCUCUGAGAAAGCAUUUUUUCCUCUUGUUCAUUUGUGCUAUAUUGUUUCCAUAACGCAGGCCGCAAUAACGUAUAUCGGAAGAAAUAGAUCUAUACAUGAUUUCAAUCACCAUGAUUCUCUUUUCACCGACAUUUUCAAAUUUGUGGGUGAACAUGGAUUCUUAAGUCAAUAUUUCGUUUCAAACAACAUCGACAGUUCUUGCGAUAUCAACAUGUCAGUCCGUAGGCUAAGCUUUCCGUUUCUACGAAGGUGUGCCAUUUUAUGGCAAUUAACAAACUCUUCAACUUCAGCACCAUUUAGUGGGGCCCUUGGAUCAUCCAAAACAUUUGAAGAUAAAAAGGAUUAUGCUUAUGGCACUCUUGAAGAAACUAUUGAAAUCGAAGAGUUGGAGAAGGUGUUUAAGAUUCCACCGUUGGACAACAUAGUUAACGAUGAGGUGUCACGAUCGUUGGUUAAAAAAUGGUUGCAACACAUUGCUAAGGAUUUUGACAAUAGUAGUUCUUCAAGGGUUUUGCACUUAAACCCUGUCGUCCCAAUUAAGUUGAUCGCUUUGCCUUAUCUCUACCAAGAUCUCUUGCAAAGGUACAUAAAACAGAAGUGUAUCGACUGUGGAGCUGUUCAGGAUGAACCCGCGUUAUGCUUGUUGUGUGGUAAAUUGUGCUCGCCAAGCUGGAAGACGUGCUGCAGGAAUAACAAGUGUCAAACUCAUGCAACGUCUUGUGGUGGUGGUACGGGUGUGUUUCUGUUGGUUAGGAAAACUACAAUAUUACUUCAAAGAUCUUCACGGCAGGCGCGAUGGGCAUCUCCUUACCUGGAUGCGUUUGGUGAAGAGGACAUUGGAAUGCAUAGGGGAAGGCCAUUAUAUUUGAACGAAGAACGCUAUGCAGCCUUAAGUCAUAUGGUGGCUUCUAAUGGCAUUGAACGGAGUUCAAAAGUGUUGCACCAAACAUCAAUCGGUGCUUUCUUAAUGCUUUAGAUCGGAUUCGUAGUAGAUGAGUUCUACCCAAGGUCUGUACCCACACACUGCUCUUGUAGGGGAUAGGAAGGAGGAUAUUUCGUCACGUGCUAGUUUCUUAACCUCUUUGUAUAGCCACUGUAAAUACUUAUACCCAAAAUCAUCGUGUUUGAACUAUGAAAACGAUAUUUAGUGACCGCGGGUGGUUGUAUGAGCAUUUGCCAAAUUUUGAUAUCUUUGUUCGUUUUCAACCAAAGAUGUUGAUGCUUCUAUUU
Molecule: RNA transcript, 6312 nt
Organism: Helianthus annuus (common sunflower)
Lineage: Eukaryota; Viridiplantae; Streptophyta; Magnoliopsida; Asterales; Asteraceae
Gene name: E3 ubiquitin-protein ligase PRT6
Exons: 18
Source: RefSeq, a predicted model, not a curated record